GCCCGGGUGGUGGAAUUGGCAGACACGCUAGACUAAGGAUCUAGUCCUGGAAACGGGGUGCGAGUUCAAGUCUCGCCUCGGGCACCA
This 87-nucleotide transfer RNA is filed under the name Candidatus Hydrogenedentota bacterium. RNAcentral's name for it is "tRNA-Leu". It matches the Rfam family "tRNA". From Rfam's summary of the family: Transfer RNA (tRNA) molecules are approximately 80 nucleotides in length. Lineage: Bacteria; Pseudomonadati; Candidatus Hydrogenedentota. The record is from RNAcentral. RNAcentral also lists the same sequence under 1 other name.